CCCUUAGAUGUUCUGGGCUGCACGCGCGCUACACUGAUGCACUCAACGAGUUUACGACCUUGUCCGAGAGGAUUGGGUAAUCUUUUUAAAAUGCAUCGUGAUGGGGAUAGAUUAUUGCAAUUAUUAAUCUUCAACGAGGAAUGCCUAGUAGGCGCAAGUCAUCAGCUUGCGUCGAUUACGUCCCUGCCCUUUGUACACACCGCCCGUCGCUCCUACCGAUUGGGUGUGCUGGUGAAAUGUUCGGAUCGGCCGUUUGUCGCGGUUUCCGCGGCUCGUGGCUGAGAAGUUCAUUAAACCCUCCCACCUAGAGGAAGGAGAAGUCGUAACA
Molecule: ribosomal RNA, 328 nt
Filed under: uncultured eukaryote
Lineage: Eukaryota
Description: partial 18S ribosomal RNA
Rfam family: Eukaryotic small subunit ribosomal RNA
Source: RNAcentral